Asterias rubens (European starfish) is the source of this 281-nucleotide long non-coding RNA. RefSeq lists it as uncharacterized. Lineage: Eukaryota; Metazoa; Echinodermata; Asteroidea; Forcipulatida; Asteriidae. The transcript has 3 exons. The record is from RefSeq and is a predicted model, not a curated record.
GACACGUCCAAAAAGAAGGAAAGGACACCUCGCCAAUCAGGGUACUAUGUGAGCAGAUGCCAGGACUUGGCGUAAACAUCUUGGAGACCUCAUCAAACCCACCAUCUCCAAGUCCACAUCAUCCACCUCCGCAAAGCUCUUGCCAAGCUGGUGGGUUUGUACCAACUGUAGGGAGAUGCCAACACAACAGGACAGGUCAUGCUGCAAACAAAGGCCGGAUGAAUACUUCUCAAACUUGGCAAUCUUGAGGCACCUUGUUCUGGACCACCAUUAGAGUUGGC